Sapajus apella (tufted capuchin) is the source of this 185-nucleotide long non-coding RNA. RefSeq lists it as uncharacterized. The transcript has 3 exons. The record is from RefSeq and is a predicted model, not a curated record. NCBI's taxonomy places the organism in Eukaryota, Metazoa, Chordata, Mammalia, Primates, Cebidae.
UCGUAUCUCAUGAGACCCAUUCACUGUCAUGGGAAUAGCACAGGAAAGACCUGCCCCCAUAAUUCAGUCACCUCCCACCAUGUCCUUCCCACAACACUUGGGACUUAUGGGAGCAACAAGAUGAGAUUUGGGUGGGGACACAGAGCCAAACCAUAUCAACUAGUCUAAAAAAAAUAAAUUAUCUG